ACAAAAUCCAGACGAAUGUGUGAUGGCAUCUUGAAACGAAAAGAGCCAGCUGAGACCUCUUUUGUGUGAGGGCGGCUCAGUACGGGAGGCUUCAGUGUUGCCUCAUGGCUCCAGAGCCCCUAAUCAGUUGAUGGUGUGCACAUGUGACUGAUCAGCAACUACUUAAACUCAGGAGUGUGAGCUGAUCCCAAUAAGACUCUACGUCCCUCUGUGUUGUUCACAAACCAGUUUCCGAGCAAGACAAGACCUCUGGUCUAAAACUCUCUGCCGCCUCCUGUAGCUUGAAGAUGGCAGCAAUGCCGGCUGUCAACAGACCAACUCAUCCAGGACCUAUUGGCGGGAACUUGCAGACUUGCAUUAAUAGCGGUGGACCAACCUCUCACCCCCAAGGCCCAGGACUACACAGCCAAGAUCCAGGACUUUCAUCCUAUCUCCAACAGCCCAUGGCUGCCCGGCCUGUCUUCUAUGUACAUGGUCCACCCCCACCACAUUUCCUCCACUACCAGUGGCCCAUGCCCUUCUCCUAUAACCCGUUUGCGGGCUUCCCAGGCAUGGGCUAUGGUAUGGUAAUGCCCCCAUUCCAUCCUCCUCCUCCUCCCUACAUGGAGGCACCAACCUACGUUCUUCCCAACACUCACAUGCAACCAGUUGAUUACAGACGUUUCAUGCACCCCCAGGUGCACGUU
Pungitius pungitius (ninespine stickleback) is the source of this 686-nucleotide long non-coding RNA. RefSeq lists it as uncharacterized. Lineage: Eukaryota; Metazoa; Chordata; Actinopteri; Perciformes; Gasterosteidae. The transcript is spliced from 3 exons. The record is from RefSeq and is a predicted model, not a curated record.